AGAGUUUGAUCCUGGCUCAGGAUGAACGCUGGCGGCGUGCCUAAUACAUGCAAGUCGAACGUGAUCCUUGGAGCAAUCUGAGGUGAAAGUGGCGGACGGGUGAGUAACACAUGGCUGACCUGCCCUUCAGAGGGGGACAACAGCUGGAAACGGCUGCUAAUACCCCAUACGCUCGCGCGGUUCAGAAGCGCGUGAGGAAAGCCUACGGGUGCUGAAGGAGGGGGCUGUGGCCCAUCAGCUAGUUGGUGAGGUAACGGCUCACCAAGGCGAGGACGGGUAGGGGGCCUGAGAGGGUGACCCCCCACACGGGAACUGAGAGACGGUCCCGACUCCUACGGGAGGCAGCAGUAAGGGAUAUUGCGACAAUGGGCGAAAGCCUGACGCAGCAACGCCGCGUGGAGGAUGACGGCCUUCGGGUCGUAAACUCCUUUUACCGGGGAAGAGGAAGGACGGUACCCGGUGAAGAAGUCUCGGCUAACUACGUGCCAGCAGCCGCGGUAAAACGUAGGAGGCGAGCGUUAUCCGGAUUUACUGGGUGUAAAGCGCGAGCAGGCGGCCUGGUAAGUGGUGUGUGAAAGCGCUCUGGCUCAACCGGGCGAGGACAUGCCAGACUGCCGGGCUGGAGGUAGGUAGAGGCGAGUGGAAUUCCGGGUGUAGUGGUGAAAUGCGUAGAGAUCCGGAGGAACACCAGUGGCGAAGGCGACUCGCUGGGCCUGACCUGACGCUCAGACGCGAAAGCAUGGGGAGCGAACGGGGAUUAGAAACCCCGGUAGUCCAUGCUGUAAACGAUGUGGACUAGG
RNAcentral lists this ribosomal RNA (800 nucleotides) under uncultured bacterium. RNAcentral's name for it is "bacterial SSU rRNA". It matches the Rfam family "Bacterial small subunit ribosomal RNA", at positions 8 to 820 of the family's 1533-position model. The record is from RNAcentral.